CCUGACUGCUAUCGGAUUGAUACUAAGCCAUGCGAGUCUUUGCAGUAAUGCAAGGCAUACGGCUCAGUAACACGUAGUCAACUUACCCUAUGGACGAGGAUAAUCUCGGGAAACUGAGCAUAAUACUCGAUAGAUCAUAAUGCCUGGAAUGGUUUAUGGUUGAAAUGAUUCGUCGCCAUAGGAUGGGACUGCGGCCUAUCAGCUUGUUGGUGAGGUAAUGGCCCACCAAGGCGAUUACAGGUACGGGCUCUGAGAGGAGAAGCCCGGAGAUGGGUACUGAGACAAGGACCCAGGCCCUAUGGGGCGCAGCAGGCGAGAAAACUUUGCAAUGUGCGAAAGCACGACAAGGUUAAUCCGAGUGAUUUCUGCUAAAGAAAUCUUUUGCAAGUCAUAAAACCACUAGUGAAUAAGGGGUGGGCAAGUUCUGGUGUCAGCCGCCGCGGUAAAACCAGCACCUCAAGUGGUCAGGAGGAUUAUUGGGCCUAAAGCAUCCGUAGCCGGCUCUGUAAGUUUUCGGUUAAAUCCAUGUGCUCAACGCAUGGGCUGCCGAAAAUACUGCAUAGCUAGGGAGUGGGAGAGGUAGACGGUACUCGGUAGGAAGGGGUAAAAUCCUUUGAUCUAUCGAUGACCACCUGUGGCGAAGGCGGUCUACCAGAACACGUUCGACGGUGAGGGAUGAAAGCUGGGGGAGCAAACCGGAUUAGAUACCCGGGUAGUCCCAGCUGUAAACGAUGCAGACUCGAUGAUGCAUUGGCAUAUAGCCAGUGCAGUGUCGCAGGGAAGCCGUUAAGUCUGCCGCCUGGGAAGUACGUACGCAAGUAUGAAACUUAAAGGAAUUGGCGGGGGAGCACCACAAGGGGUGAAGCCUGCGGUUC
RNAcentral lists this ribosomal RNA (875 nucleotides) under uncultured crenarchaeote. RNAcentral's name for it is "bacterial SSU rRNA". It matches the Rfam family "Archaeal small subunit ribosomal RNA", at positions 21 to 903 of the family's 1478-position model. Lineage: Archaea; Thermoproteati; Thermoproteota. RNAcentral also lists the same sequence under 1 other name. The record is from RNAcentral.